This is a long non-coding RNA of Mesocricetus auratus (golden hamster), 776 nucleotides long. RefSeq lists it as uncharacterized. NCBI's taxonomy places the organism in Eukaryota, Metazoa, Chordata, Mammalia, Rodentia, Cricetidae. The transcript is spliced from 2 exons. The record is from RefSeq and is a predicted model, not a curated record.
UCCUGGUGUCUUGACUCACAGUGCUCCUGCCUCUGUCUCCUGAGAACUCCGAUUACCACCACUCGAGGAAAAACAAAGCCUCUUCUCUGGCUGCCCUCUGAUCUGCUCAUUAGCUGCAAGAGGGAGGACGGGCAGGAGCCCCAGAGGCUGAGCGGAGCUCGGGUUGGUGGAAGCAGUGAAGACAACUUGAUCUGUCUCUCAGAAAGAAGCCCCCCAGCCCCCACCAGCCACAAGUGACCUGAGAGGACUCACACCAGGAACCAGAACUUCUGAGAGGACUCACACCAGGAACCAGAACUUCUGAGAGGACUCACACCAGGAACCAGAACUUCUGUGAGGACUCACACCAGGAACCAGAACCUCUAGGGAAGCCCCGUAAGCAGAAAGGUAACUCAAAAGAGCCUCAGGAAGUCCCUGAAACUGAGCAGAUUCACUAGGCCCCCUCCCUGCCAGAGUAAGCCGAGCCAAGCUUCAAGGAAGAUGCUCAGAAGAGGAAAAGCUGCAGAGAAGACUUUGAGACUAGACCAACUUCCUGGAGGAAGUGGAAACCAGAUGGGCAGCCCGGCAGAGACACCUGAGACACGGAAAAGGACUCUAACCUGUUGAGCUGGCUGCCUGCAGGCUGUAUAGUGGGCUCCAGGUUCCCAGUUUUUUGUGAGCUGUCACUCAUGCUAUACUGGGCUUUGAUGACACAGCUGUCUGGGAGACACUUCUGCUCCUGAAAGUAACCAUUCACCAUAUGCCAUGUGGCCCCAAUAAACUCAUUGGUUCACUAA